Phascolarctos cinereus (koala) is the source of this 791-nucleotide non-coding RNA. NCBI's taxonomy places the organism in Eukaryota, Metazoa, Chordata, Mammalia, Diprotodontia, Phascolarctidae. The record is from RefSeq and is a predicted model, not a curated record.
UAGAGUUGGGAGGAAAUAGAGAUUCUGUUGUCUACGUUGAUCUUUUUGUAAUGAUUAAUUACUAUUAUCAUCUGUGGUUGGAGGUCACACCUUUCCCACAUGUGACUCAGGUCACUUUCCUCGGUUAGCCACCCACCAUGGGGACCCAACAGUCAGCACCCAGAUAGGAGGUGCUGGUCAGUCACUCAUGUCCUUUACAGCCAACCAGAAGAGGCUCCCCACCCAUGCUCUAUGAGCUAUCCCACACUACAUCAUCAGGAUUGAACUGGUAUUUAGUUUUGUCACUCCCUCCGUCACUUCCCAGGAAACACAUGUCUUCCUUGUGCCUUCUCAUAAAAAAGCUGUCAAGAAAAGCUGUCCAGUAUGGUGAUGGUGAUUGAUGGCCUUCGAGAGAGAUGGCGUUCACCACCCACUUCAGAUUGCUGAAGGAAGGCUCUGGGCAGAAGUCACCAUGGGAGGAGCUGGCUGUCUCCAUCAUGUCCCUCUUCUCACGUUGCUGCACCAGAUAAGGCAACAGAGACCCAAGAAGUGAAGGGACUUGGCCAGGGUCAUACAGGCUGUGAGUGGAAGAGCUGGAAGCUGGAAGGAUUUCUCACUUUUAUCCCAGGAGGAAGCUGUGCACAUUUCAUCAGGUCCUAGAUCACAGAAGCCACCCAGUCCAACCUCUCAUUUUACAGGUGAAGAAACUGAGGCCCAGAGAAUUAAAAUGAUGUGCCCAGGGCUUCCCAGGUAGUGAGUGGAAGAGGUGAGGUUUGAACCUCAAACCUUUGACCCCAGAAUCACUGCUUCUU